Molecule: unclassified non-coding RNA, 400 nt
Filed under: uncultured fungus
Lineage: Eukaryota; Fungi
Description: sequence contains ITS1
Rfam family: 5.8S ribosomal RNA (bases 1-105)
Source: RNAcentral
GAAAUGCGAUACGUAAUGUGAAUUGCAGAAUUCAGUGAAUCAUCGAAUCUUUGAACGCAUAUUGCGCUCUCUGGUAUUCCGGAGAGCAUGCUUGUUUGAGUAUCAGUAAACACCUCAACUCCCCUUUUCUUUUUCUGAAAUGGUGGAGCUGGACUUGAGUGAUCCCAACGCUUUCUCCAGAAAGCGGCGGGUUACUUGAAAUGCAGGUGCAGCUGGACUUUUCUCUGAGCUAUAAGCAUAUCCUAUUUAGUCUGCCUUAAAAACAGAUUAUUACCUUUGCUGCAGCUAACAUAAAGGAGAUUAGUUCUUGUGCUGACUGAUGCAGGAUUCACAGAGACAGCUUCGCGGCUGACUUUGUAAACUCGAUCUCAAAUCAAGUAAGACUACCCGCUGAACUUAA